GAUGAACGCUGGCGGCGUGCCUAAUACAUGCAAGUCGAGCGAACGGACGAGAAGCUUGCUUCUCUGAUGUUAGCGGCGGACGGGUGAGUAACACGUGGAUAACCUACCUAUAAGACUGGGAUAACUUCGGGAAACCGGAGCUAAUACCGGAUGAUAUUUUGAACCGCAUGGUUCAAAAGUGAAAGACGGUCUUGCUGUCACUUAUAGAUGGAUCCGCGCUGCAUUAGCUAGUUGGUAAGGUAACGGCUUACCAAGGCAACGAUGCAUAGCCGACCUGAGAGGGUGAUCGGCCACACGGGAACUGAGACACGGUCCAUACUCCUACGGGAGGCAGCAGUAGGGAAUCUUCCGCAAUGGGCGAAAGCCUGACGGAGCAACGCCGCGUGAGUGAUGAAGGUCUUCGGAUCGUAAAACUCUGUUAUGAGGGAAGAACAUAUGUGUAAGUAACUGUGCACAUCUUGACGGUACCUAAUCAGAAAGCCACGGCUAACUACGUG
Molecule: ribosomal RNA, 497 nt
Filed under: uncultured bacterium
Lineage: Bacteria
Description: partial 16S ribosomal RNA
Rfam family: Bacterial small subunit ribosomal RNA
Source: RNAcentral